UUCAACGACGCCUAGACCUCGG
Molecule: non-coding RNA, 22 nt
Filed under: Arabidopsis thaliana (thale cress)
Lineage: Eukaryota; Viridiplantae; Streptophyta; Magnoliopsida; Brassicales; Brassicaceae
Source: RNAcentral